Thunnus maccoyii (southern bluefin tuna) is the source of this 350-nucleotide long non-coding RNA. RefSeq lists it as uncharacterized. The record is from RefSeq and is a predicted model, not a curated record. The transcript has 3 exons. NCBI's taxonomy places the organism in Eukaryota, Metazoa, Chordata, Actinopteri, Scombriformes, Scombridae.
GACUGGAGGUUCCUCCCGUGUGGCAGGCAGGCCGUGACAGCUCCGAGAUGCUCUUUGACCUGAGAGGAAGAGAAAACAACAUCAAUGGCCACCAGGGACGCUGGAGGUGUCGGUGGAUGAAGGCGCGCUGCCAAUAACACCAGACGUGUGUGUGUAUACACUGUAGGUCCCAUCCCUCUGCAUGACUGGCCCUCUCUGACAAGUGGAAAUCACACAGAUCCUACUGGCAAAAGAUGGAAAGUGAAGAAGACUUCAGAAACGUGUACCCUACAGCUAUCAGUGUCCUGAACUCAAGAAUGAAGACACCAAGCAUAUCUUCUUCGCUAUAUACUAUAAAAACUAGUGAGAAC